Molecule: non-coding RNA, 28 nt
Filed under: Bombyx mori (domestic silkworm)
Lineage: Eukaryota; Metazoa; Arthropoda; Insecta; Lepidoptera; Bombycidae
Source: RNAcentral
UAGCACAGAGUCUGCUAUUUUGAAAAAU